This 495-nucleotide ribosomal RNA is filed under the name uncultured bacterium. Its description in RNAcentral is "partial 16S ribosomal RNA". It matches the Rfam family "Bacterial small subunit ribosomal RNA", at positions 28 to 507 of the family's 1533-position model. The record is from RNAcentral.
GACGAACGCUGGCGGCGUGCCUAAUACAUGCAAGUCGAACGCUGAAGGAGGAGCUUGCUCUUCUGGAUGAGUUGCGAACGGGUGAGUAACGCGUAGGUAACCUGCCUGGUAGCGGGGGAUAACUAUUGGAAACGAUAGCUAAUACCGCAUAACAGUAGAUGUUGCAUGACAUUUGCUUAAAAGGUGCAAUUGCACUACUACCAGAUGGACCUGCGUUGUAUUAGCUAGUUGGUGGGGUAACGGCUCACCAAGGCGACGAUACAUAGCCGACCUGAGAGGGUGAUCGGCCACACUGGGACUGAAGCACGGGCCAGACUCCUACGGGAGGCAGCAGUAGGGAAUCUUCGGCAAUGGACGGAAGUCUGACCGAGCAACGCCGCGUGAGUGAAGAAGGUUUUCGGAUCGUAAAGCUCUGUUGUAAGAGAAGAACGAGUGUGAGAGUGGAAAGUUCACACUGUGACGGUAGCUUACCAGAAAGGGACGGCUAACUACGUG